GUAGUUGUUAAACAACUUCUACUAUUUUAAGUUUAACAUCUAUGUCCAUGCAAACUUUGGUAUGAGCUUAACUAAAUAUCUAUUGCACGAUAUAUUAGGAAAAGAAGAAAAGAGAAGCAGAAGGCCAAAGUUCUGAAGAUGCUUCAAACAAUAAAGAUAAGGAAGAACAAGAAAUUACCCUGAGGCCUUUAAACAUGGAAGACAUGAGAGAGGCUAAGACUCAGGUGGCUGCAAGUUUUGCAUCAGAAGGAUCUGUAAUGAAUGAGUUGAACCACUGGAAUGAUUUGUAUGGUGAAGGAGGUUCAAGGAAGAAACAACAGCUCACUUACUUCCUUUAAAUUGUGGAAUGCUACUUUUAUUUUUGGAUUUGUGACCAUUCAUCCUCAAUGAUAUAUACCUUUAACAAAGGAAGGAUUCCUUCAUCAGAGAUGUUGAACUCAAAGAAUGCCCAAAUGUCAUAGAGAUAUCAUGAUUCCCAGAAAAGCACAAGUUCUACCACACAUAUCUAUUCUCUAAAGGACGUGUGGAUCGUCAUGCACUAUGUUUGGGAAUGGGUUCUCGGUUUUCGUUUGGGUUGUCUACAAACAAAUGAGCACCUGUAUUAGGGGAUUUAUAUUAUGUCAUGCAUGGUUUUGGAAGAUGCAAUGGCUUUGUAGGAAGUAGGAAUAUUUUACACCAAACAUUUUAGGUAUGCUGUAUUAUAUAAUCAGAAUUUUGUAAAUUGAUUGUGCAACUGUACUGCUUAAUAAUUAAAAUUAGAAAGCUUCUAUCUUAUCUAAUUGUAACAGACAAAUUUAUAAAUGUUGCUGCCUUGUACUCAAAUUGUGUUUAAAAUAAACAACUUAUUCAUUCUCUAUA
Long non-coding RNA from Glycine soja, 858 nucleotides. RefSeq lists it as uncharacterized. The transcript has 2 exons. NCBI's taxonomy places the organism in Eukaryota, Viridiplantae, Streptophyta, Magnoliopsida, Fabales, Fabaceae. The record is from RefSeq and is a predicted model, not a curated record.